Molecule: long non-coding RNA, 260 nt
Filed under: Homo sapiens (human)
Lineage: Eukaryota; Metazoa; Chordata; Mammalia; Primates; Hominidae
Description: HSALNT0339046
Source: RNAcentral
CGGGGUUUCUCCAUGUUGGUCAGGCUGGUCUCGAACUCCCGACCUCAGGUGAUCCACUCGCCUCGGCGUCCCAAAGCGCUGGGAUUACAGGCGUGAGCCACAGCGCCCAGCUGACCAUGCCUUCCUUAAGCCACCAAAGUGGCCGAAUUUCACCCCGAUAUGGGACCUCUGCCUAGGGUGGCGUCGUAGUUUUGGUUGAGGGCUGUUUCCCUGGCGAUGUCCCUCCUAGAGGUUCGGCGACCUCGUGAUGUGACUUUGUG